Molecule: unclassified non-coding RNA, 253 nt
Filed under: uncultured bacterium
Lineage: Bacteria
Description: contains 16S-23S intergenic spacer region
Rfam family: Bacterial small subunit ribosomal RNA
Source: RNAcentral
UACGUAAGGGGCGAGCGUUGUUCGGAUUAACUGGGUGUAAAGGGUCUGUAGGCGGCCAGGUAAGUCGGGCGUGAAAUCCCGGGGCUUAACCCCGGAACUGCGUCCGAUACUGCUUGGCUUGAGUACGUGAGAGGUGAGCGGAAUUCCAGGUGUAGCGGUGAAAUGCGUAGAUAUCUGGAAGAACACCAGUGGCGAAGGCGGCUCACUGGCACGAUACUGACGCUCAGGGACGAAGGCGUGGGGAGCAAACAGG